UCUUUUCUUUUGAUAGGAGAGUUUUUAAAACCAGUGUUAUUUUUGUAAGUUUAAGAGAAGUUUGUGUAUUGAAUUUUUAGUAUUAAAGAGCUUUGUUAAACUUAGACUUAAGUUUAGGUCAUUUUGGGGGUUUAGCUCAGUUGGCUAGAGCAUCGGCUUUGCAAGCCGAGGGUCAAGGGUUCGAGUCCCUUAACCUCCAUUGGGCUUAUGUCCUAAAUUGUAAUUAAGUAUGUUUUUAAGCAACUUUAUUAAAGUAAUUGUUGGAAUGUGAAACAGAGGAAGUUAAAAUUUCUGGGUUAAGUUGAGAUCUGUUGAUAUUAAGAAGAAUCUCUAGAAGCAAAAGCAAGCUUUCGAUAAAACCCGAAGUUGUUUCGCUAAAGUGCAAGGAUUAAACAGGAUUGUAUUUUCCAGUAGCCUAUUUUAUAAACGAUCUGCAUUUAGUAAAUAGUUUUUAGUUAGGAAAUAAUGUAUAUUGCUAAGUGUGGUGUC
This 489-nucleotide unclassified non-coding RNA is filed under the name Borreliella burgdorferi (Lyme disease spirochete). RNAcentral describes it as "partial 16S-23S ribosomal RNA intergenic spacer". The stretch from base 126 to 199 matches the Rfam family "tRNA". The record is from RNAcentral. Lineage: Bacteria; Pseudomonadati; Spirochaetota; Spirochaetia; Spirochaetales; Borreliaceae.